Non-coding RNA from Steinernema glaseri, 45 nucleotides. The record is from Rfam. NCBI's taxonomy places the organism in Eukaryota, Metazoa, Nematoda, Chromadorea, Rhabditida, Steinernematidae.
CCAACGGCCCUCUUUAGGGCCACAUUUAUAUGAGUAAAACUGAAG